GACGAACGCUGGCGGCGCGCCUAACACAUGCAAGUCGAACGAGCGAGAGAGAGCUUGCUUUCUCGAGCGAGUGGCGAACGGGUGAGUAACGCGUGAGGAACCUGCCUCAAAGAGGGGGACAACAGUUGGAAACGACUGCUAAUACCGCAUAAGCCCACGGCUCGGCAUCGAGCAGGGGGAAAAGGAGCAAUCCGCGUUGAGAUGGCCUCGCGUCCGAUUAGCUAGUUGGUGGGGUAACGGCCCACCAAGGCGACGAUCGGUAGCCGGACUGAGAGGUUGAACGGUCACAUUGGGACUGAGACACGGCCCAGACGCCUACGGGAGGCAGCAGUGGGGAAUAUUGCACAAUGGGGGAAACCCUGAUGCAGCGACGGCGCGUGGAGGAAGAAGGUCUUCGGAUUGUAUACUCCUGUUGUUGGAGAAGAGAAUGACGGUACCCAACAAGGAAGUGACGGCUAACUACGUG
RNAcentral lists this ribosomal RNA (466 nucleotides) under uncultured bacterium. Its description in RNAcentral is "partial 16S ribosomal RNA". It matches the Rfam family "Bacterial small subunit ribosomal RNA", at positions 28 to 507 of the family's 1533-position model. The record is from RNAcentral.